RNAcentral lists this long non-coding RNA (438 nucleotides) under Monodelphis domestica (gray short-tailed opossum). RNAcentral describes it as "lncRNA (ENSMODG00000045585.1)". The record is from RNAcentral. Lineage: Eukaryota; Metazoa; Chordata; Mammalia; Didelphimorphia; Didelphidae.
AGAUCUUUGAAAAGGAAGGAACCAAUGUUCAGUUGUUGGGGAUUGAAUACUAUGUGACACUUCCUCCCCCUUUCUCUAAGCUCAGCUGUUACCAAUGGAGUCAGUCAGUCUAGACUAAAGGCUUUCUUCAAGAUUGGCUGACAAAACAGGAGUCGAUAAGUCCAGACACCAACCCAAAUGCUCCACUGGUCACUUUGGAAAAUUGGAUUGUGUGAAGCACUGAGAAGGCAAAGGAAAGCAAGAGAAUCUGGUAGGAGAGACAACAUGAAAAUAGACAAUAUCCAGGCAGGAUAAAUUGGAGAAUUUAAAAAGGAGAGGAAAGAAGAAUCCAGGAGAACCUAUAAGAUCCUAUAAAGACAUGCAACAUCAAAGAAGGGAAAAUUAAUUGAUAUUUAAAAAAGGAAAAUAAAAAGAAUGGCAUCUGAAAAUUAUAGAUCA